UCAGUUGUGAAAGUUUGCGGCUCAACCGUAAAAUUGCAGUUGAAACUGGCAGUCUUGAGUACAGUAGAGGUGGGCGGAAUUCGUGGUGUAGCGGUGAAAUGCUUAGAUAUCACGAAGAACUCCGAUUGCGAAGGCAGCUCACUAGACUGUUACCGACACUGAUGCUCGAAAGUGUGGGUAUCAAACAGGAUUAGAUACCCUGGUAGUCCACACAGUAAACGAUGAAUACUCGCUGUUUGCGAUAUACAGUAAGCGGCCAAGCGAAAGCAUUAAGUAUUCCACCUGGGGAGUACGCCGGCAACGGUGAAACUCAAAGGAAUUGACGGGGGCCCGCACAAGCGGAGGAACAUGUGGUUUAAUUCGAUGAUACGCGAGGAACCUUACCCGGGCUUAAAUUGCAACAGAAUAUAUUGGAAACAGUAUAGCCGUAAGGCUGUUGUGAAGGUGCUGCAUGGUUGUCGUCAGCUCGUGCCGUGAGGUGUCGGCUUAAG
Molecule: ribosomal RNA, 491 nt
Filed under: uncultured bacterium
Lineage: Bacteria
Description: bacterial SSU rRNA
Rfam family: Bacterial small subunit ribosomal RNA
Source: RNAcentral